RNAcentral lists this long non-coding RNA (1174 nucleotides) under Cricetulus griseus (Chinese hamster). RNAcentral describes it as "lncRNA (ENSCGRG00015036988.1)". Lineage: Eukaryota; Metazoa; Chordata; Mammalia; Rodentia; Cricetidae. The record is from RNAcentral.
CAAAAUAUAAAGAUGCUUUGGUAUUCAAGUUUUCACACCACACUCAAUUCUCCCAGAGAGAAAUAUAAAGGAAGCACAGAGUACUUCUCCAGGCUGCGUUCUCCGACAUGAAAACCAGGAAGUGCAGUGCACUGCUCUUGUUGCCAUGCCUGCCAGGAAGCUGAAACAGAACUGAGACGGAGUUCUAGGACUCAAAUACUCGACUCUUUCUUUUCUUCACUUCCCCUUUAUCUGCCAUUCCUUUCUGCCAUUACAAGCUGUCUCCUUCUUACAUCUUUUUCAAAGAUUUUGAAUCCUCUGGGUCAGGCACACCGGAACCUUUUGGAGGGCAGAUGGCGUGUGAGUGUAAGAACAGCAAGCAGGAGGUAUGAGCUUUUAAUAUUAGCUCUGCCUAUGACUCAUCCUGUGUUUAGGUAUUGAGGCUUGAUGUUUAUUCUUGGGAUAUAGUUCAGGCAUUUUCCAGAUGAGGAAGGGCUUUGGGGCAUCUAGCUGGCUUUUCCUAAUAACUCACACAGUCGUCCUCAUCUUGUUUAAGUAUGGCUUACUUCUCUGAGGGUCUUUGAUCCCCUGACUGCAGACACUCUGGCACCAGGGAGCCUUAAAGGUCAAGGAGUGAAGAUACACACAGAGGUUUGGAUGUGGUCUGUUUGCCAAGAGUUCACAUGCCAGGGGCUUGGUCUCCAGUGUGGAAGGCUAAAAGAUUGUAGAGUCUUAAGAAAUGGACUAACAUGCAUGGUUACUACAAGAAAGGUCAUUUGAUUUCAUGGGGCUCUUGGGGCCAUCACAGAGUCUCAGGCAAUGUCUCAAGUGAGCCUGGCUGGCCUCAAACUCACUCCACGGUGAGGACAAGCAGGAACUCCACCUCUCCAGUGCCGGGAAAACAGGCAAGGAGCCAUCACAGAUGCUUCAUUCCUUGCUAGUACUUGAAGCCAGGGCCUGCUGCAUGCCCUGCAGGCCAUCUAACAACUGAACCACAUCUGCCCUAUUUGCUUCUCAAAGCUGUCACCUGUGAAGCCUUGAGUUUCAGCUCUUCCUAAAGAAAUACAAAAAAGAAAUCAGAGACAAUCCUUUGUUCCUCUUAUUGCAUUUAGCUGUGAUAACACUGAGAUUGAACUUCGUUUAAUUGUUAUUGAGGAGUUAGCAAGGAAAGAAUUACAAAUGCUCACAUGGUUCC